AGACGCACCGAGAGGGAUAGAUAAGACAGGGAGUUGGGGAGGGGGGUGGUGGGGGGCAAAUGUCCAUCAAGGCGAGAAAAAUCGGAUGAGCUGAGGGGCUGACGUGUUGGAUGAGUGACUCAUCCUCCUACCCCCGCAAUUUCUUUUUGAGAGCCUGUGGAAUGAUGAACUGCUAUUUCAGCACCAGUCUCGCAGUGCAUUUCACAGUGACUGCUGAUACACAACCACAGGUGGAAGAUUAAAUCAGUUCCAAGUAAGGGGUCUAACGCUGAAUUAAUCCUCCGCUCCUGGUCCAUUCCGUCCGCUCUUAUUGCUGUUUGCUCAUUUGGAAAAGCCUUCUGUCCAGGCAAAUGAGGUGAAAGUUGAAUAUCGGCAUGUCGAAGGAGUUAAGGGGGCAUUUAUACAUUUAAAGUUAAUUCCUUCUGUCAAACUUUGCUUUUAAUUUUACCGGCUGUGGCAGUUCUGGAAUUUUUAUACAGACGCUCCUCUGUUUACGAACUUCCAUCUUACAAACUUUCAGACAUUCGAACGAAGAGGACUGUAAGU
Molecule: long non-coding RNA, 546 nt
Organism: Paramormyrops kingsleyae
Lineage: Eukaryota; Metazoa; Chordata; Actinopteri; Osteoglossiformes; Mormyridae
Source: RefSeq, a predicted model, not a curated record